This 465-nucleotide ribosomal RNA is filed under the name uncultured bacterium. RNAcentral describes it as "partial 16S ribosomal RNA". It matches the Rfam family "Bacterial small subunit ribosomal RNA", at positions 338 to 795 of the family's 1533-position model. The record is from RNAcentral.
CCUACGGGUGGCAGCAGUGGGGAAUAUUGCGCAAUGGGCGAAAGCCUGACGCAGCGACGCCGCGUGAGGGAUGAAGGUCCUCGGAUCGUAAACCUCUGUCAGCAGGGAAGUACGGUCACUGUGCUAAUCAGCAGUGAAUUGACCAUACCUGCAAGGGAAGCACCGGCUAACUCCGUGCCAGCAGCCGCGGUAAUACGGAGGAUGCGGGCGUUAAUCGGAAUUAUUGGGCGGAAAGGGAUCGUAGGCGGUAUGUCAAGUCAAGGGUGAAAUCCCCGGGCUCAACGGGGGAAGUGCCUUUGAAACUGGCAAACUGGAGUGUGUGAGAGGUUAGUGGAAUUCGUGGUGUAGGGGUGAAAUGCGUAGAUAUCUGGAAGAACAUCAGUGGCGAAGGCGACUAUCUGGCACAUAACUGACGCUGAGGAGCGAAAGCGUGGGUAGCAAACAGGAUUAGAUACCCGGGUAGUC